Paramuricea clavata is the source of this 220-nucleotide non-coding RNA. Lineage: Eukaryota; Metazoa; Cnidaria; Anthozoa; Malacalcyonacea; Plexauridae. The record is from the annotation of a GenBank genome assembly.
UCACACUGUACCACUGAAAACAAAUCUAUUGCGAUUACUUUGAUCAGGACCAUGUACUUAUAGUGAUUUGACUGGACUACAGGGGAAACAGAAAGAUUCGUGUACCAAGAAAGUUUGGGAAAAAAUUCGUGUAGAGACUUUUCAGUUAAAUAAAAAAAUUCGUGAAUGCGUUAUACUUAAAAAAAAUAUCGACACAAGCAAAAAAUUUAAAAAAUUUUCG